AGUGGGAUAGCUGGGUCAAAUGGUUUUCAUAGGAAUCUUCAUACUACUUUCCAGAUUGGCUGCACCAAUUUGCAGUCCCACCAGCAAU
Molecule: microRNA precursor, 88 nt
Filed under: Marmota monax (woodchuck)
Lineage: Eukaryota; Metazoa; Chordata; Mammalia; Rodentia; Sciuridae
Source: RNAcentral